Molecule: ribosomal RNA, 456 nt
Filed under: Streptococcus mitis
Lineage: Bacteria; Bacillati; Bacillota; Bacilli; Lactobacillales; Streptococcaceae
Description: bacterial SSU rRNA
Rfam family: Bacterial small subunit ribosomal RNA
Source: RNAcentral
GACGAACGCUGGCGGCGUGCCUAAUACAUGCAAGUAGAACGCUGAAGGAGGAGCUUGCUUCUCUGGAUGAGUUGCGAACGGGUGAGUAACGCGUAGGUAACCUGCCUGGUAGUGGGGGAUAACUAUUGGAAACGAUAGCUAAUACCGCAUAAUAGCAGUUGUUGCAUGACAACUGUUUGAAAGGUGCAAUUGCACCGCUACCAGAUGGACCUGCGUUGUAUUAGCUAGUUGGUGGGGUAAUAGCUCACCAAGGCGACGAUACAUAGCCGACCUGAGAGGGUGAUCGGCCACACUGGGACUGAGACACGGCCCAGACUCCUACGGGAGGCAGCAGUAGGGAAUCUUCGGCAAUGGACGGAAGUCUGACCGAGCAACGCCGCGUGAGUGAAGAAGGUUUUCGGAUCGUAAAGCUCUGUUGUAAGAGAAGAACGAGUGUGAGAGUGGAAAGUUCACACU